Molecule: non-coding RNA, 47 nt
Organism: Helianthus annuus (common sunflower)
Lineage: Eukaryota; Viridiplantae; Streptophyta; Magnoliopsida; Asterales; Asteraceae
Source: Rfam
CCAAAGGACUUCUUAAAGUCCAUAAAAGUUAUCCAAACAGUAGUUCU